RNAcentral lists this ribosomal RNA (253 nucleotides) under uncultured Gemmatimonadaceae bacterium. RNAcentral describes it as "partial 16S ribosomal RNA". It matches the Rfam family "Bacterial small subunit ribosomal RNA", at positions 524 to 776 of the family's 1533-position model. Lineage: Bacteria; Pseudomonadati; Gemmatimonadota; Gemmatimonadia; Gemmatimonadales; Gemmatimonadaceae. The record is from RNAcentral.
UACGGAGGGUGCGAGCGUUGUCCGGAAUCACUGGGCGUAAAGGGCGCGUAGGCGGUGACUUAAGCGUGUGGUGAAAGCCCGGGGCUCAACCCCGGGUCGGCCGUGCGAACUGGGUCACUUGAGCACUGUAGAGGCAGGUGGAAUUCCGGGUGUAGCGGUGGAAUGCGUAGAGAUCCGGAAGAACACCAGUGGCGAAGGCGGCCUGCUGGGCAGUAGCUGACGCUGAGGCGCGACAGCGUGGGGAGCAAACAGG